GUGAGUCAUCGAAUCUUUGAACGCAUCUUGCGCUCCUUGGUAUUCCGAGGAGCAUGCCUGUUUGAGUGUCAGUAAAUUCUCAAACCCACUCUGGCUUUUGUGGCUGGUUUAUGUGGGAUUUGGAUGUGGAGGUCUUUGCAGGCCCUUUCGAGGUGUCGGCUCCUCUGAAAUGCAUUAGCGGAACCGUUUGCGAUCCGUCACAGGUGUGAUAAUUAUCUAUGCCAACGGGAUUGCUCUCUGCUGUUCAGCUUUGUUAAUUGUUCUAUUCGUAGGACAGCCUUUUGACAUUUUGACCUCAAAUCAGGUAGGACUACCCGCUGAACUUAAGCAUAUCAAUAAGCGGAGGA
RNAcentral lists this unclassified non-coding RNA (347 nucleotides) under Leucoagaricus sp. RNAcentral describes it as "partial contains 5.8S ribosomal RNA, internal transcribed spacer 2, and large subunit ribosomal RNA". The stretch from base 1 to 71 matches the Rfam family "5.8S ribosomal RNA", at positions 84 to 154 of the family's 154-position model. The record is from RNAcentral. Lineage: Eukaryota; Fungi; Basidiomycota; Agaricomycetes; Agaricales; Agaricaceae.